GAUGAACGCUGGCGGCGUGCCUAAUACAUGCAAGUCGAGCGAACAGACGAGGAGCUUGCUCCUCUGACGUUAGCGGCGGACGGGUGAGUAACACGUGGAUAACCUACCUAUAAGACUGGGAUAACUUCGGGAAACCGGAGCUAAUACCGGAGAAUAUAUUGAACCGCAUGGUUCAAUAGUGAAAGACGGUUUUGCUGUCACUUAUAGAUGGAUCCGCGCCGCAUUAGCUAGUUGGUAAGGUAACGGCUUACCAAGGCGACGAUGCGUAGCCGACCUGAGAGGGUGAUCGGCCACACUGGAACUGAGACACGGUCCAGACUCCUACGGGAGGCAGCAGUAGGGAAUCUUCCGCAAUGGGCGAAAGCCUGACGGAGCAACGCCGCGUGAGUGAUGAAGGUCUUCGGAUCGUAAAACUCUGUUAUUAGGGAAGAACAAAUGUGUAAGUAACUAUGCACGUCUUGACGGUACCUAAUCAGAAAGCCACGGCUAACUACGUG
This 497-nucleotide ribosomal RNA is filed under the name uncultured bacterium. RNAcentral describes it as "partial 16S ribosomal RNA". It matches the Rfam family "Bacterial small subunit ribosomal RNA", at positions 28 to 507 of the family's 1533-position model. The record is from RNAcentral.